GACGAACGCUGGCGGCGUGCUUAACACAUGCAAGUCGAACGGAAAGGCCCUGCUUUUGUGGGGUGCUCGAGUGGCGAACGGGUGAGUAACACGUGAGUAACCUGCCCUUGACUUUGGGAUAACUUCAGGAAACUGGGGCUAAUACCGGAUAGGAGCUCCUGCUGCAUGGUGGGGGUUGGAAAGUUUCGGCGGUUGGGGAUGGACUCGCGGCUUAUCAGCUUGUUGGUGGGGUAGUGGCUUACCAAGGCUUUGACGGGUAGCCGGCCUGAGAGGGUGACCGGCCACAUUGGGACUGAGAUCAGGCCCAGACUCCUACGGGAGGCAGCAGUGGGGAAUAUUGCACAAUGGGCGGAAGCCUGAUGCAGCAACGCCGCGUGCGGGAUGACGGCCUUCGGGUUGUAAACCGCUUUCGCCUGUGACGAAGCGUGAGUGACGGUAAUGGGUAAAGAAGCACCGGCUAACUACGUG
Molecule: ribosomal RNA, 468 nt
Filed under: uncultured bacterium
Lineage: Bacteria
Description: partial 16S ribosomal RNA
Rfam family: Bacterial small subunit ribosomal RNA
Source: RNAcentral